UACGUAGGGGGCAAGCGUUGUCCGGAUUUAUUGGGCGUAAAGGGCGCGUAGGCGGCCAUUCAAGUGACGGGUGAAAGCCCUCGGCUUAACCGAGGAACUGCCUGUCAGACUGGAUGGCUCGAGACCGGGAGAGGUGAGUGGAAUUCCCAGUGUAGCGGUGAAAUGCGUAGAUAUUGGGAGGAACACCAGUGGCGAAGGCGGCUCACUGGACCGGAACUGACGCUGAGGCGCGAAAGCGUGGGGAGCAAACAGG
RNAcentral lists this ribosomal RNA (253 nucleotides) under uncultured bacterium. RNAcentral describes it as "partial 16S ribosomal RNA". It matches the Rfam family "Bacterial small subunit ribosomal RNA", at positions 524 to 776 of the family's 1533-position model. The record is from RNAcentral.